GGAUUCCACAGUGGUGCCCGCCAGCAAGGUGUCUAUAUGGCAGUAGGAGUUCCCAAGGACAGUUGUUGCCAGGGUCUGUGUCCCCAGGAUGAGCUGUAGUUGACUCCUUCCUCUUGAGGAGACUCUCCAAGAUCAGCAGACAUGCCCCAGGCUUCAUGAAGCAGAGACAGGCCAUCUGGGCUGUUCCCUGUGUGAAUUUCUGACCGGUAGAAUUUUUCUGGAGGUCAGAAGUCUGAAAUGAGUCUCACUGGGUUAAAAUCAAGAUAUCUGCAAAGCUGCCUUCCUUUUUGGAGGGACGCCCUCCUCUGCUAUUUGGGGCUUCCCAGGUGACACUAGUGGUAAAGAACCCGCCUGCCAAUGCAGGAGACAUGAAGGGUGCAUGGUGGAUCCCUGGACUGAGAAGAUCCUCUGGAGACGGAAACGGCAGUCCACUCCAGUAUUCUUGCCUAGAAAAUCCCCGUGGACGGAGGAACCUGGUGGGCUACAGUCCAUAGGGUUGCAAAGAAUUGGACACAACUGAAGAAACUUAGCCUGUACUUACAAGGGAAGACCCAUUUUCUUGCUUUUUAUGGCUUCUAGAGGUUGUGCCACUUUCCUUGUCUGUAGCCAGCAAUGGCCCAUCAAGUCUUCCUCACAUUGCCUCACUCAGACACUCACACUCCUGCUACCCUUGUGAGGAGCCUUGUGAUGA
Long non-coding RNA from Dama dama (fallow deer), 691 nucleotides. RefSeq lists it as uncharacterized. NCBI's taxonomy places the organism in Eukaryota, Metazoa, Chordata, Mammalia, Artiodactyla, Cervidae. The record is from RefSeq and is a predicted model, not a curated record. The transcript is spliced from 3 exons.